RNAcentral lists this ribosomal RNA (504 nucleotides) under Flectobacillus roseus. Its description in RNAcentral is "partial 23S ribosomal RNA". It matches the Rfam family "Bacterial large subunit ribosomal RNA", at positions 1 to 523 of the family's 2925-position model. Lineage: Bacteria; Pseudomonadati; Bacteroidota; Cytophagia; Cytophagales; Flectobacillaceae. The record is from RNAcentral.
CAUAAGUGAAUUAAGGGUGUAUGGGGGAUGCCUAGGCUCUUGAAGGCGAUGAAGGACGUGUUAAGCUGCGAUAAGCUACGGGGAUUUGCACAAAAGAAUUGAUCCGUAGAUUUCCGAAUGGGGCAACCCAAUGGUUUGAAGAACCAUUACCACAAAGUGGGGCAAACCCGGAGAACUGAAACAUCUAAGUACCCGGAGGAAGAGAAAACAAAAGUGAUUCCGUAAGUAGUGGCGAGCGAACGCGGACUAGCCCAAACCGUUGUUGUUACGGCAAUGACGGGGUUGUAGGACGUUUUUUUAGAAAGGAUUUUAAUUUGAAUGAGUUGGGAAGCUCAGCCGGAGAAGGUGAUAGCCCUGUAAGAGUAAGGAAUCUGGACGUAAGCGUAUCCUGAGUAGGGGGGAGCUGGUGAAACUCCCUUUGAAUCAGCCGGCACCAUCCGGUAAGGCUAAAUACUAACAAGAGACCGAUAGUGAACGAGUACUGUGAAGGAAAGGUGAAAAGUA